CGAUGAUGCCAGCUUGCUGGUGGAUUAGUGGCGAACGGGUGAGUAACACGUGAGUAACCUGCCCUUGACUCUGGGAUAAGCCUGGGAAACUGGGUCUAAUACCGGAUAUGACCUUCCAUCGCAUGGUGGUUGGUGGAAAGCUUUUGUGGUUUUGGAUGGACUCGCGGCCUAUCAGCUUGUUGGUGGGGUAAUGGCCUACCAAGGCGACGACGGGUAGCCGGCCUGAGAGGGUGACCGGCCACACUGGGACUGAGACACGGCCCAGACUCCUACGGGAGGCAGCAGUGGGGAAUAUUGCACAAUGGGCGCAAGCCUGAUGCAGCGACGCCGCGUGAGGGAUGACGGCCUUCGGGUUGUAAACCUCUUUCAGUAGGGAAGAAGCGUAAGUGACGGUACCUGCAGAAGAAGCGCCGGCUAACUACGUGCCAGCAGCCGCGGUAAUACGUAGGGCGCAAGCGUUAUCCGGAAUUAUUGGGCGUAAAGAGCUCGUAGGCGGUUUGUCGCGUCUGCCGUGAAAGUCCGGGGCUCAACUCCGGAUCUGCGGUGGGUACGGGCAGACUAGAGUGAUGUANGGGAGACUGGAAUUCCUGGUGUAGCGGUGAAAUGCGCAGAUAUCAGGAGGAACACCGAUGGCGAAGGCAGGUCUCUGGGCAUUAACUGAC
Molecule: ribosomal RNA, 662 nt
Filed under: Arthrobacter sp. CS18
Lineage: Bacteria; Bacillati; Actinomycetota; Actinomycetes; Micrococcales; Micrococcaceae
Description: bacterial SSU rRNA
Rfam family: Bacterial small subunit ribosomal RNA
Source: RNAcentral